GUGAGGAAUAUUGGUCAAUGGGCGCAAGCCUGAACCAGCCAUGCCGCGUGCAGGAAGACGGUCCUAUGGAUUGUAAACUGCUUUUAUUUGGGAAUAAACUCCGGUACGUGUACCGGCCUGAAGGUACCAAAUGAAUAAGCACCGGCUAACUCCGUGCCAGCAGCCGCGGUAAUACGGAGGGUGCAAGCGUUAUCCGGAAUCAUUGGGUUUAAAGGGUCCGCAGGUGGUCUUAUAAGUCAGUGGUGAAAACCUACGGCUCAACUGUAGAACUGCCAUUGAUACUGUAGGACUUGAAUUCGAUCGAAGUGGGCGGAAUGUGACAUGUAGCGGUGAAAUGCUUAGAUAUGUCACAGAACACCGAUAGCGAAGGCAGCUCACUAGGUCUGGAUUGACGCUCAGGGACGAAAGCGUGGGGAGCAAACAGGAUUAGAAACCCGUGUAGUCC
RNAcentral lists this ribosomal RNA (445 nucleotides) under uncultured bacterium. RNAcentral's name for it is "partial 16S ribosomal RNA". It matches the Rfam family "Bacterial small subunit ribosomal RNA", at positions 354 to 796 of the family's 1533-position model. The record is from RNAcentral.